Nematostella vectensis (starlet sea anemone) is the source of this 275-nucleotide RNA transcript. RefSeq lists it as uncharacterized. Lineage: Eukaryota; Metazoa; Cnidaria; Anthozoa; Actiniaria; Edwardsiidae. The transcript is spliced from 3 exons. The record is from RefSeq and is a predicted model, not a curated record.
GACAGAAGAAUUGGAUACGCUCGGGAGCCUACACGCCCAGAUGAUGUAUAUAGAUGUAAUAUAACAGAGUUUCGGGACAGAGGGAUUGGAUACGAACGGCAGCCUUCCCUUCCCUUUUACGUGUAUAAGAACACAACCUACACGCCAGUCGGGCUGGUUCCGAAGGUAACCGCCCUAGCUGUAAUUCCACCUGCACCGGAAGUAGUACCGCUAUGGUGCAAUCCUUUUUUCGUGUCGUUUGUCGUCAUGGCGACCAUGGUCACGGUAGCUGUUUU